CCUACGGGUGGCAGCAGUGAGGAAUAUUGGUCAAUGGGCGCGAGCCUGAACCAGCCAAGUAGCGUGAAGGAUGACUGCCCUACGGGUUGUAAACUUCUUUUAUAAAGGAAUAAAGUGAGGCACGUGUGCCUUUUUGUAUGUACUUUAUGAAUAAGGAUCGGCUAACUCCGUGCCAGCAGCCGCGGUAAUACGGAGGAUCCGAGCGUUAUCCGGAUUUAUUGGGUUUAAAGGGAGCGUAGGUGGUUUUUUAAGUCAGCGGUGAAAGUUUGUGGCUCAACCAUAAAAUUGCCGUUGAUACUGGCAGACUUGAGUGUGGUUGAGGUAGGCGGAAUGCGUGGUGUAGCGGUGAAAUGCAUAGAUAUCACGAAGAACUCCGAUUGCGAAGGCAGCUUACUAAGCCAUAACUGACACUGAGGCUCGAAAGCGUGGGGAUCAAACAGGAUUAGAUACCCCAGUAGUC
This 460-nucleotide ribosomal RNA is filed under the name uncultured bacterium. RNAcentral describes it as "partial 16S ribosomal RNA". It matches the Rfam family "Bacterial small subunit ribosomal RNA", at positions 338 to 795 of the family's 1533-position model. The record is from RNAcentral.